CCAAUCUGCGCCCCUAUAAUGUUACGCUUGAUAAACGAGGGCCGAAGGCACGAGCCGAGCGCCGCAGGUGCGAGGUUUGUUUAGGGGGGUCCGGGGGCAUGCCCCCAAGGAAAAUUUUUGAAUUUAGAGUCUCUGAAAUGCCAUUUCCUGGACUUUGGAGGAAGAUUUGACAGAAAUCUGAUGGUCAGGAAACGGCAUUAUAACAUGUCGA
Molecule: long non-coding RNA, 211 nt
Filed under: Paramuricea clavata
Lineage: Eukaryota; Metazoa; Cnidaria; Anthozoa; Malacalcyonacea; Plexauridae
Source: RNAcentral